Vicia villosa (hairy vetch) is the source of this 658-nucleotide long non-coding RNA. RefSeq lists it as uncharacterized. The record is from RefSeq and is a predicted model, not a curated record. Lineage: Eukaryota; Viridiplantae; Streptophyta; Magnoliopsida; Fabales; Fabaceae. The transcript is spliced from 3 exons.
GGCACACGCCUCUUUCUCCUUCCUCCCUCACGUUUUUCUCUGUGAAACAAGAAAUGGAAGAACAAACUCCCUCCUCAUUUACAGCAAACAACAACAACACAUCUCUAUCUCGUCCCUUUUGCUCUCGGCCCUUCUUACUCGAUGGUGAACAACACACAGCGACUUCCUCUCUCAAUCUCAUGCAAACGAAAGAACAAUCAGUAAGGACAAAUCCUCCCCUUUCUCUCGAUCGUUCAUGGCUUUCUAUAUUCUCGGUGAACAACUAACAACAGCGGUGUUUAUUUUGAUUCCAACAUGGUGGCUUUUCGUCCUAAUCAUCAUUUCUUCCGCGAACGACAACAACAAAGACGCUCUCUCUCGGUUCUCUCUCGGAACAACAAGAAUAACAACCUUCGAAUUUUCGGCGGCCAUAGAACAAGAACCAGAGGAAAAAUCUAGGUAUAACAUAUUCACAACAAUAAUUUAUCAGUAACUUUGGAAGUGAAAGCGUGAAAACUUACCUGCGGCGUGGAGGUUUUCGCCGGUUAUUGUUGAGGUAUAACAACGGUUAGUGUAAAUAUUGAGAACGAAGAAGAGAUACUUACCUGCGGCGAAGAUGUUGAAGUUUCAUCUAUGGGGGCUCGAAGAUUAGAGCCAUCGUUGAAGAGCUACCGGCCAG